Molecule: long non-coding RNA, 376 nt
Filed under: Equus asinus (donkey)
Lineage: Eukaryota; Metazoa; Chordata; Mammalia; Perissodactyla; Equidae
Description: lncRNA (ENSEASG00005033567.1)
Source: RNAcentral
CUGCGCCUCGCGUGGUGCCGCCCUUCCCCCCUGGCCCGCGGUGACCGUGGCUGGUGCGCGUUUUCCUCUGUUCUGUGGCCCGAGGGCUCUGCAGUCGGCUUCCCGGAAUGGCGAAGUCCUGGGGAGGCUUGUCUACAAAUACAGAGGCUGUUUCCCCACAUGCAGGAGUGGCCAUGAGACUGGGCCUGACCAGAGAGAUUCAAGAGGAAGUCUGCUGAUUGAUCUAUUGGGUGGCAAGAACAGGUCUCUUUGAUGAAGUGACAUUUAAACCGGAUGAACUGAGGGAACAAGCCUUAUCAGGGGAAGAAUAAUCCAGGCAGAGGGAAAGCAAGUGCAAAGCAAGAAAGCUGGAGCUGAAGGAUCUGGGGGAGAGACG